ACACUGACGUCGCGACGCAUAUCAAUAAGCGGAGGAAAAGAAACUAACAAGGAUUCCCUUAGUAACGGCGAGUGAAGCGGGAAGAGCUCAAAUUUGAAAUCUUCAAGGUUUUACCUCGACGAAUUGUAGUUUAAAGAAGUGUUUUCUGCUGAAGUUUUGGUAAAAGUUCUUUGGAAUAGGACAUCAUAGAGGGUGAGAAUCCCGUAUUUGACCAUUAUUUUCAGCUUUGUGAUACACUUUCAAAGAGUCGGAUUGUUUGGGAAUGCGGUCCAAAAUGGGUGGUAAAUUUCAUCUAAAGCUAAAUAUUGGCGAGAGACCGAUAGCGAACAAGUACCGUGAGGGAAAGAUGAAAAGAACUUUGAAAAGAGAGUUAAACAGUACGUGAAAUUGUCAAAAGGGAAGCGUUUGACACCAGUGUUGUUUUUCUGAAAAUCAAUUAAAGAACUGUUUAUGCUAAGUUGUUUAGACUUUAUCAGCUAACUGUUUAGUUUUGAGCUUUUCUUUAAUGCACUUUUCAGUUAACAAGUCAACAUCAAUUUCUUUUGCUGUAAAAAAGCUUGAGGAAGGUGGCUUGAGAUUCGUCUUAAGUGUUUAUAGCCUCUUGCCUAUGCAGUCGGAGAGAUUGAGGUCUGCAGCGUAGAUCCUUCGGGGCUAAAUGCAUUUGUGCUAAGUUAUAGCAUUUUAUAGACAACUUGUUGACUAUGAUUUGUCUUGUAGCUUACUCGCUUAUGUUAUUUUACCUACGCUUAGGAUGUUGAACUCUAUCACACACAG
This 774-nucleotide ribosomal RNA is filed under the name uncultured Neocallimastigales. RNAcentral's name for it is "partial large subunit ribosomal RNA". It matches the Rfam family "Eukaryotic large subunit ribosomal RNA", at positions 25 to 627 of the family's 3401-position model. The record is from RNAcentral. Lineage: Eukaryota; Fungi; Neocallimastigomycota; Neocallimastigomycetes; Neocallimastigales.